CGAACGGGUGAGUAACGCGUGAGGAACCUGCCUCAAAGAGGGGGACAACAGUUGGAAACGACUGCUAAUACCGCAUAAGCCCACGGCUCGGCAUCGAGCAGAGGGAAAAGGAGUGAUCCGCUUUGAGAUGGCCUCGCGUCCGAUUAGCUAGUUGGUGAGGUAACGGCCCACCAAGGCGACGAUCGGUAGCCGGACUGAGAGGUUGAACGGCCACAUUGGGACUGAGACACGGCCCAA
RNAcentral lists this ribosomal RNA (237 nucleotides) under uncultured bacterium. Its description in RNAcentral is "partial 16S ribosomal RNA". It matches the Rfam family "Bacterial small subunit ribosomal RNA", at positions 99 to 334 of the family's 1533-position model. The record is from RNAcentral.